GCAGGAAGGAGGAGCACCAAGCAAAAGAAGGAAAGCCAUGUGAACUGAGAUGAAUGACAUGAGAUGGUACAGUUGAAGAAACACCAAGGCCAAGGAAAGGUUUUUCUCAAGAAAUGUUACCUGGUUGGCAAAACGGCCAAAAGGAAAUUGUGAUCAAUUGUAAAACCAGAAGAGAAUGAAUGAAAGAGACAUCCGUGAACCUUCUGAAUGGGAAGUUCAUUGAAAUUAAUCCAUUUGAAUCAGUUGGAUGAAUGUGGAAGAUAAUUAAUAUUAAUUUCUGAUUGAUUCUUACUUAGUGUUUAGCUUUUAUGUCUUCUAAAUUCAGAUGGUGGAUGAAUGUAAGAACUACGUGAUUUUUCAUGAGUCUAAAUUUUAUCAAAUAGUGUUAAAACACACUGAUGAAAUAAUACACAGUAACUGACUCAUUGGCACUAAAAAAAGGAAGCAAGGUUUUAGCAAUAUUGUUGAAGAGGAUUUUAUUAAAACUAUACUUUUCAUAUGGCUAAACUAUAAUGGUAUUUUGCAGUAAGACAAAAUAGCUACAUAGGAUCUUUGAGAAUUAUCCAGAAAAGCUAACAAAUUUCCCCAAGAUGAGGAAACAAAAAUAAACUUGCUCAAUGAUUUAUAUUGAAUAUACCUUAUUUAUAGUCUUUUUUUUUUUGUUGUUUUUUUGAGACAGAGUCUUGCUCUGUCGCCCAGGCUGGAGUGCAGUGGUGCAAUCUUGGCUUACUGCAACCUCUGCCUCCCAAGUUCAAGUGAUUCUUCUGCCUCAGGCUUCCGAGUAGCUGGAACUACAGGCGUGCGCCACCACGCCCGUCUAAUUUUUGUAUUUUUAGUAGAGAUGGGAUUUCAACAUAUUGGCCAGGCUGGUCUCAAACUCCUGACCUCGUGAUACACCCGCCUCAGCCUCCCAAAGUGCUGGGAUUACAGGCAUGAGCCACUGUGCCCGGCCUUAUUUACAGUCUUUAAAAUUCGAAGACAAGCUGGUUAUAAAUCUACUGUUGAAUGUGGAUUUUUUGGUAUCUCAGGGUCAACAUUCACUAUGUUGCUGUUCAUUCAGCUCUGUCGAAACUCAAAUCAUUCACAAGAAAAAAGUUAUGAACAAAACACCCUUAGCUUUUUGACACGAGUUAAACAUUCUUGUUUUGAAACUGAGUAUGAGUCUAGAGGCUAAGUAGCUAUCCCCAGAUCAUAAGGCAAUAGGGACUACUUGUUCCUGAAAAGAUACAGCCUCAUUUCUGCACUGUGUGUUAUGCGAUGACUCAUUUGUUAUUCCGGUUAAUCAUGUACAAAGCUAUUCAAAAGAAUUCCAGAUCAACAUGAAUAGUAUUAUAAAUCCAGGCAGGAGUUCAGAGGUUUUUAUAAGAGAUAUCUAUAAUUAUUGCUUAGACUGCCAAAAGCACAAUAAAAGAAACUACAACUCUGAAUAGCAGGCAUAAAAUUCAUAUUAGCCUUAUGGAAUACACACAGAUUACAUUCUAACAUUCAAUUAAUUCAAGGUUAAGGCUACAUCCACAUUUGAAGAGCUAGCAAAGUGAGGAUCUCCAUUAUUUUGUAAGUCAUUGAGCAAUAUAUUGGACUGUUGGCUGCUAUAUUUAGUAUAAUAUGAUAUAGCCUUUGAAUGGUUAUUAAAAGUAUGAUUUUUGUAAAGCUUUUAUUUUUUAGAAUAUAAAUGUUAAGUAUAAAAAUUCAAUCAUCUCAGCAUGUGUAAAGAAAGUUAAAAAAAAAGCUUGAAAUUCCACCACCAGAAAUAACCACUGUCAAUUCGUCUGCAUCAGCAUUUCACUGACUGCAUACUAUUCCAUUUUAUAUCUGUGCUGUGUUUCACAUAAACCAAUUUCACAUUGAUGAAAUAUGGUUUGCUGUACAUUUUUCACAAUUAUGAAAACAAUCAUGGAUAUCUUUCUGUCUACAAUGAUUUCCAUUUGUGAUCUUUUUUUCCACAAGAUGCCCCAGAAAUGUGAUUGCUGAACAUUUUAUAUCUUAAUACAUUUUUUCAAAUUUUCUCAUCAGAAAGUUUAUAUCAAUUUGCACUCCUUCACUAUAAGAUAAACGUACCCAUUAUUAAUACUUGGCAACUCCAGUCUGUCAAAUUUUUAAUCUUUUCAAGACACUAGAGAAAAAUAUGUUAUAUUAUUACUUUUAAUUCUUUUUAGAUUUUAGAGAUAGGGUCUUGCUUUGCCAUCCAGGCUGGAGUCCAGUGGCACAAUCCCAGCUUGGUGCAACCUUGAUCUCUCAGGCUCAAGCAAGCCUCUUGUCCCAGCCUCCCAUGUAGCUGGGACUACAGGUGUGUGCCACCACACCUGGCUAAUUUUCUCAAUUUUUUGAAGAGACAGGGUCUUGUAAUGUUGUCCAGACUAGUCUCGAAUUCCUUGUCUCAAGCAAUCUUCCUGCUUUGGCCUCCCAAAAUGCUGGGAUUAUAGGUGUGAGCCACUGUACCUGGCUAAAUAUUUCACAUUUUAUUUUAAAAUUUGGUCGUAUUUUCAAAUAUUUGCUGUGAGUUGUGGGGUUUUUUAUUGAGGAUAUUUUUCCAGUGUCUUCUUUUUAAUUAGUUAUUUUUAUAUACAUUUAAGGUUUACAUUAUGAUGUUUUGAAAUACAU
RNAcentral lists this long non-coding RNA (2601 nucleotides) under Homo sapiens (human). RNAcentral describes it as "HSALNT0116419". The record is from RNAcentral. Lineage: Eukaryota; Metazoa; Chordata; Mammalia; Primates; Hominidae.